Molecule: ribosomal RNA, 404 nt
Filed under: uncultured organism
Description: bacterial SSU rRNA
Rfam family: Bacterial small subunit ribosomal RNA
Source: RNAcentral
UGCCUAACACAUGCAAGUCGAGCGAGAAAGUCCCGGCAACGGGAUGAGUAAAGCGGCGAACGGGUGAGUAACGCGUAGGUAAUCUACCCUCCGGAUCGGGAUAACCUGCUGAAAGGUGGGCUAAUACCGGAUAAUGUUCUUGCGAGGAUCUCAUGGGAACCAAAGGGGGCGAGCGUAAGCAGCUUCUACCGAAGGAGGAGCCUGCGUCCGAUUAGCUAGUUGGUAGGGUAACGGCCUACCAAGGCGACGAUCGGUAGCCGGCCUGAGAGGGCGACCGGCCACACUGGAACUGAGACACGGUCCAGACUCCUACGGGAGGCAGCAGUGGGGAAUAUUGCGCAAUGGGCGAAAGCCUGACGCAGCGACGCCGUGUGGGUGAUGAAGGCCUUCGGGUCGUAAAGCCC